This 431-nucleotide ribosomal RNA is filed under the name uncultured archaeon. RNAcentral's name for it is "bacterial SSU rRNA". It matches the Rfam family "Archaeal small subunit ribosomal RNA", at positions 474 to 903 of the family's 1478-position model. The record is from RNAcentral.
UACCAGCGGCCCUAGUGGUGAUUGUUUUUAUUGGGCCUAAAGCGUCCGUAGCCGGUUCGGUAAAUCUCUGGGUAAAUCGUUGGGCUUAACUCAACGAAUUCUGGGGAGACUGCCGAACUUGGGACCGGGAGAGGUCGGAGGUACUCCAGGGGUAGGGGUGAAAUCCUGUAAUCCUUGGGGGACCACCGGUGGCGAAAGCGUCCGACCAGAACGGGUCCGACGGUAAGGGACGAAGCCCUGGGUCGCGAACCGGAUUAGAUACCCGGGUAGUCCAGGGUGUAAACGCUGUGCGCUUGGUGUAGGGGGUCCCACGAGGGCAUCCUGUGCCGGAGAGAAGUUGUUAAGCGCACCGCCUGGGGAGUACGGUCGCAAGACUAGAAACUUAAAGGAAUUGGGCGGGGGAGCACAGCAACGGGAGGAGCGUGCGGUUU